This 253-nucleotide ribosomal RNA is filed under the name uncultured bacterium. Its description in RNAcentral is "partial 16S ribosomal RNA". It matches the Rfam family "Bacterial small subunit ribosomal RNA", at positions 524 to 776 of the family's 1533-position model. The record is from RNAcentral.
UACAGAGGGGGCAAGCGUUGUUCGGAAUUACUGGGCGUAAAGGGCGCGUAGGCGGCCUUCUAAGUCGGACGUGAAAUCCCCGGGCUCAACCCAGGAACUGCGUCCGAUACUGGUUGGCUUGAAUCCGGGAGAGGGAUGCGGAAUUCCAGGUGUAGCGGUGAAAUGCGUAGAUAUCUGGAGGAACACCGGUGGCGAAGGCGGCAUCCUGGACCGGCAUUGACGCUGAGGCGCGAAAGCCAGGGGAGCAAACGGG